Molecule: ribosomal RNA, 1191 nt
Filed under: Acrosterigma attenuatum
Lineage: Eukaryota; Metazoa; Mollusca; Bivalvia; Cardiida; Cardiidae
Description: eukaryotic LSU rRNA
Rfam family: Eukaryotic large subunit ribosomal RNA
Source: RNAcentral
GAAAGAAACUAACGAGAAUUCCUCUAGUAACGGCGAGUGAAGCAGGAAGAGCCCAGCACCGAAUCCUCUCUGCCCUUGCGUGGAGCGGGACAUGUGGUGUUAGGGAGGCGAGCAUCGCUUGCGCGGUCGUCUCGGCGCCCAGGUCCUCGUGAUCGUGGCUUUUCGCCCCAUCGAGGGUGUAAGGCCCUUCGUGGCGCCGGACUCGCGUGGCCCGCGAGCCUCCUUGGAGUCGGGUUGCUUGAGAUCGCAGCCCGAAGUGGGUGGUAAACUCCAUCUAAGGCUAAAUACUGGACACGAGUCCGAUAGUAGACAAGUACCGCGAGGGAAAGUUGAAAAGAACUUUGAAGAGAGAGUUCAAUAGUACGUGAAACCGCACAGAGUCAAACGGGUGGAGCCGCAAUGUCGCUCGUCCCGGGGCAUUCAGCCCGUCUUCUCGCCGCCGGGCCUUUCUCUGGAUCGCGUUGCGCACUCUUUUCGAGGGCGCUCCGGCCGGGGAUGAGGACAAGUCGGUGGCGAGACGGGUGCACUUGCUCCGGUCGUCGAGAGCCACGACCGGUUCCUUCGCAGGCAGUGUGGACUCCCUUGGUCGGGUUAACGGCGGUCCGAACGUUGUCCCUCUUUUGGGCCUCGAUCGACUGCUCCGACCGGGAGGGAAACUGGCCUGGGGACCGAGGACUGCAGCCCGGUGGACGUCUCCGUUACUCUCCAGCCGUGUGCCCUUGUCGCCUCCCCUCACGGGGUGGGCUGGCAAUACGGGCGCGAGGACGCACGGAGAGGGAGCGGAAGGCGCCUGCCGCGAACGGGUUUGCUUGUCAGUGGCGGAUCAGGUCGGUACUCCACCCGACCCGUCUUGAAACACGGACCAAGGAGUCUAGCAUGUGCGCGAGUCAAUGGGAAAAGUUGACUAAACCCUACGGCGCAAUGAAAGUGAAGGCCUCCUCUUCCUUCGGGAAAAGGGGCCUAGGCAGGAUGUUUGGGUGCCAAAAACGCCCAAGCCGCACUGCCGGCCCGUCCCGAUCGCCUUUGACGAUGGGGCGGAGCAAGAGCGCACACGCUGGGACCCGAAAGAUGGUGAACUAUGCUUGAGCAGGACGAAGUCAGGGGAAACUCUGAUGGAGGUCCGCAGCGAUUCUGACGUGCAAAUCGAUCGUCAAACUUGAGUAUAGGGGCGAAAGACUAAUCGAACCAUCU